Pygocentrus nattereri (red-bellied piranha) is the source of this 140-nucleotide small nuclear RNA. Its record names the gene U2. It matches the Rfam family "U2 spliceosomal RNA". From Rfam's summary of the family: U2 is a small nuclear RNA (snRNA) component of the spliceosome (involved in pre-mRNA splicing). Complementary binding between U2 snRNA (in an area lying towards the 5' end but 3' to hairpin I) and the branchpoint sequence (BPS) of the intron results the bulging out of an unpaired adenosine, on the BPS, which initiates a nucleophilic attack at the intronic 5' splice site, thus starting the first of two transesterification reactions that mediate splicing. Lineage: Eukaryota; Metazoa; Chordata; Actinopteri; Characiformes; Serrasalmidae. The record is from Ensembl.
AUCGCUUCUCGGCCUUUUGGCUAAGAUCAAGUGUGGUAUCUGUUCUUAUCAGUUUAAUAUCUGAUACGUCCUUUGGGGCAGUCCUGGGCUGGAGGUUGGGGAUCUGGCCCUGCGACCGCCGGUUCGAUCCCCAGGGCUGA